RNAcentral lists this long non-coding RNA (483 nucleotides) under Apteryx owenii (little spotted kiwi). RNAcentral describes it as "lncRNA (ENSAOWG00000017540.1)". Lineage: Eukaryota; Metazoa; Chordata; Aves; Apterygiformes; Apterygidae. The record is from RNAcentral.
CCGCGCGCGGCGGCCGUUGGCGGCGGCGGCCCCGAGAUGACGGUGCUGCGCCCCGCCGCUGUGCGGGCCUGGGAACGGGGAAGAGGGCUGCUGAGUCAAAGCACGGCGUUUUUAAAGACGGACUCCUUGGAAGUUUUUCCCAAGCUGGCUUUUCUGGUUAGACUACAUCUCCAGUAAUGCUCGAUGGAUAUGGAUUCCUACAGUGCCUUCCUCCCUUUAUCUAGCAGAGAGAGAUUGUAUUGGAUGUAUCCAUUACAUGCUGAUGUGGAGAGACGGAAAACUGUGUUUCUGGAAGACUCUGAUCUUUCAGUCUCCGACAAAUCCUUCAAGUUGGCACAACUGAGAAAAAAAAAUCCUUUCAUGCUGAUGAAUGGAGAAUUGAGGUUGAGGAACAGAAGACAGUGACACAGGGCUCAUCUAUGACCUUGGCUCAGGGAAUUUUGUGUGAAUAAAGCGGGCUAUGUAUGGCCUUUUGUGCUUCUG